GUAGGCAUAGCUCAGCCGGGAGAGCACUUGCUCGACAAGCAAGUUGUCGCUGGUUCAAGUCCAGUUGUCUCCA
This 73-nucleotide transfer RNA is filed under the name Clostridiales bacterium. RNAcentral describes it as "tRNA-Val". It matches the Rfam family "tRNA". Rfam says of the family: Transfer RNA (tRNA) molecules are approximately 80 nucleotides in length. Their secondary structure includes four short double-helical elements and three loops (D, anti-codon, and T loops). Lineage: Bacteria; Bacillati; Bacillota; Clostridia; Eubacteriales. The record is from RNAcentral.